This 5001-nucleotide long non-coding RNA is filed under the name Marmota monax (woodchuck). Lineage: Eukaryota; Metazoa; Chordata; Mammalia; Rodentia; Sciuridae. The record is from RNAcentral.
GCGCUACUCACUCGUGUAGGAGCCUUGACACAAGCCCAGCAGAGUGCUCCUGGCCGCCCUGCUCUGCCACCCUGCAAAAAUAACCCUGAAUAACCCUCGAAGAGUGACCUGGGUCCCGCUUCCCACCCAAGCCCCAGAGUAGCUUCUCAUGGAUCCUGGGCAGCCGCUCCCGGUUGGAAGUAACAGAAAGCCGGCCCUGCAGGGAGGACUGGCAGGGAAGGCCAAGCUGCCGCUGACCCCUGCAGUGUCCAUGGUGGCCCGUGAGCUUGCUGGCGAUCAUAGACGGGACGUCCUGGAGGGUCUGCAGCCCUGGUGGCCCCUCUAGACUGCAGAAGAGAGAGAGGAAGCUCUGGACUGAGGCCGAACGUCCCAGGGAAUGCAGCUGGGAGUGUCUUGGGGGAAAUUUAACUUUGACCGUCCACAGAAACCACGCGAGAAGGGUCCUGAUCGAGUGAGACGCACGUUCACAGGAAGAAACCCAAGCCCAGGGAAAACUAAAACUGGGUCUCAUCAGAAUUUAAAAUCUCUGCUUAUCACGAGAUGUUGAGAAAGUGGUGAACUAGAGACUUUGGACACGUCCACCGCCUGAAUCUGAGGGGACUCUGCCUACGCAAAGGCCUCUGCAGCUUAGUCUUCCAGAUGGACAGGGAAGCACACAGGCCCUUUUCCAUGUCCACGUGGCCAGCACCGCGUGAAGAGGCGCUGGGUGUCAGCAGUUUCUGGGGGGAGGCAGUCCUUCCGGUCACCACAGCCCUGGGCUGGACGUGCCUGGACGCAGCUCUCUGGUGCCAUGUGCAUAGUAGUAGGAGUCUGGAGACUGGGCCACUUGAAGAUCAAAUGCCGCCCUCUCUGUGACCUGCAGUCCACUGUGGCACCCAGCAGCCUGCUCGUGGUGGCCAGAGCUUGGUGGGUGGCCUGCUAACACGACAGCCUGGACGAACGUCAACAUUUGCUGAGCUGGAAGAAGUUACCACGUCUCCAGCAGUGGGUGCCAACGCAGUGGUACCCCCUGCAUGGGUAUUGGCCAGGACGGUGCACAGGGACUGGCAGGUGGUAAGUCCCAACUGAGGAGGUCUCGGGUCGGUGCACCCGUGAAACUAGGAGGUCAUAAGAAGUGUCACAGAGUCGGCUCUGAAUGUUCAAAUGCCUGGAAGAGAAAAUAAGGUGCUCCGAGGUUAGAGAGUAGGGGGACGGUGUCACCGGAAGACCAAGGACAGGCGAGUGAGGCUCCAGAGGGCAGCCGGGGACCCCGGGGCCUAGGCACACAGGGGAUUCCAGAGGGUGGAGGUCAGACUGACAGGUCACUGUGGAAACAAGUCUCCAGAAUGCAAGGUCCCGGGUAGCAUGAAAUCGCAACUGAGGGUUUGAGAGCCGUGGAGGCGAAGACCGUUCCCAAAUAACAGGAGGGGAGAGCUCCAGGCCAGCUGUCAGGACGGCACUCGUCCUCACAGUGACCCCAGGGGUUCAAGGACAAACUGCAGCCCAGAAUGGUGCCCCGGCCAGCAGUUAAGGGUGUAAGGAGUCAGAUUGUAUUUCCAAGCAAUCUCAGACUGACCCACGUACCAUGUCUUGGUUCGCUGCUCAGGAAGUGCUCCCUGAAAGACAAGUUUUGGGGACCCACUAAAAGGAAGCCCACCCAGGAGAGGUCAUGGGCCUCCGGGGCCUGGAGCAGCAGUGCAGAUGGUGCCCAGGAGCCUGGACAGAAGAGCAGGCUGCAGAAGAGUCGCAGGGCAGGUUGUGCAGACCACCUUGGGGGGCCACACCAUGAGAGGGCAGCGAGCGGCAGCGUGAGUGCGUGGGAACCGCUCUCAGGGGAACAUGCCGAGCAGCAGAGGGGCACAGUGCCUGCCUGAGUCACAGCGAGCACACAGAGCAGGGUGCCACCACAGGGAGGCCAACAGCGCCAGGCCAGGGCUCCCACAGGCCGUAGCUUGGACAUGUUUAUAUAGUGACAGAUGCAAAUGCCAGGGAAUCGUGAAGCCGCUGGACGUGGGAGCGGGGACUGCUGACUCUUCAGUUCAUGAGAAAAAUAGCUGAUCACAAGACACGGGCAGGCGUGGUGGCCAUGCCUGUGGCCCAGGAAAAGGAACGGGCCUGGGGCGGUGUCUCGGUUGUAAGGCACCUGGUGAGUCGGGGCCAAAGCACGCGCACGGUGACAAACCGCACCAUCAGCCGGGGUUUUGUUUGGUCGGCUUUUAAUUUUGUUUUGGGGCCUGGGGAUUGAAACCAAGGGUGCUCUACCACUGGACCACACCUAUUUUUUGAAUCAGGGUCUCAAAGCUGCCCAGGUUGGUCUCAAACUUGAGAUCCUCCUGUCUCUACCUCUCGAGCUGCUGGAUCACAGCGUGGCCAUGGGCCGGCUCAGGUUGUCCCUUGGUCCAAGAGGGCACGAGGCAAGGGAGAGGACGUCCCGGCCAGGGAGUGCUCCUUCAGCUCCAGCCUCUGCAAACGUGCCCCGCCUCGCUGGCUGUGAGGACGUGGAGGUCACCUUGGCCCUGAUGGCAGAGCUUACAUGGACCUAGUCUUUGGGAAUCUCCCGUGCUCUGGCGCUGUCCACGUUUACAGUCAGCUACGAGAACAAAAUCUAGGAAAGUCAAAGAUGUCAAUCUUCCCAGCCUGGCACAUCCUUCGCACACCCGUCUGGCCCUGCGGGGUGAGCUGCCUGCCCACAUGGGGCAGGCGCGAGGAGGUUCCACACAGCUGCCUUGUCUGCAGCACAGAGCACCCGAGUGUCCAGGCCACGGUUGCACCUGAGCCCGCAUAGAGGACAGGCCACAGGCCUGCUCUUAGACACCCUCAUCAUGGGUCUUCAAUCCACGUGAGACAGUGGUUACCUGAAGCGGCAUGGGAAUGAGCUGCCCUAGGUGUAGCUGGCGGUCACCACUGACGGGGCUAAGACACAGCCCCUCCCACUCCCACCAGUUCGCGGGGCCCUGAGCACGUUCUUUAGACCCGACUCUCUCUUGCUCACGUUUGUCAGGUGAACCUCCUUCCCACCCACCACCCCCAGCAGCCUCCUCCCCAAAUAGCUGUGGCCCCGUCCCCUGCCAGGGUCCUUCAUCCCUGCUCCGGCAGGCCCUCCUGGCCUCUCCUGUAGGCAACACGUGCCAGCUCAGGCCCACCUGGGUCCACAGCCCUAUGGCCUUGGCUGGCCAGAGCCUCAGAUGCCUCCUUAUAAAGUGGCAGGAUGCCAAUUUCUGUCAUGGGUAUGAGCGGCUCUACCCAGGCCUGGGUGUGUGGGCGUGAUGUGGCUGUCUCCCCUCUGCCUGGGAGUGUGAUGUGCAGCCGGGCGGCCAGCAGGGGGCCAGAGGGCAGGUUCAGCUAGGCCUGGCCUGGCCAAGGUGCCACAGGGAGGGGCUAAGCACACAUGGGUCUGCAGGAGGGCUUCUGUGAGGGAGGGUGACCUCUAGCUCAGGCAGCCUUAGGGAGUGCUGGGGACCCUGCCAGCCAGGAUGACCAUUGGAGGCCAGAGCCACAUGGCCAAAUGCCUGACCUUCCUCUAGAGCUGGGUGGGGUCUGGAGCCUGACCUCAGGGUCCUCUCUGCAGAGCUCUUGCAGCCAGGAGGUGGCGCCAGGGCUCUCAGGUGACCAUGGAGAUCCCAGGACCCUGGCCUUCGUCUUGAGCCUGGGAAGGGGUCCUUGGUGGGAUUCUGGUCCCUGGGCUCUAUUGGAUGCCUAUCUGGCAGUGACACACUGGGCUGGCCUUCACAUUCCCCUCCUGUGCUGUGUCCCUCCAUGUCACCUCAUCCUGGUCUUCCUGCCCUGGGUCCUUGCAGGCUGCAGACCCAGGCCUGGUCCCUUUUGAGCUGCUCCACGGGAGGACUGGAGCACUGGGGCCAGGCACACACAGUUCCCAUGGUGCAGACCCCAGCUUAGCUCAGAGUUUGCAGGGACACCCUGCCUGUCCCCAUGCCUGCCCUCCAUGCUGGCUUGGGAUCCCAUCAGCAACUCCAGGAGUAUCAGGGCAGGUGCCUUGUCCAAAAGGCAAAAGGGCAACUCAGGUCAACUUAAGUGCCCACAACCAGUGACCCACCAAGCCAGCAUGGCCGUGGAUGGAGGUGACGGUGCUGUAGACCAGGAGGCGGCCCUGCACACGGUAGUGGGAGGCCCCAGACAGGCAGAGGGUCCGCACUGGGCCCCCAGUGGACAAGAUGGCCACGCUCAUCUUUAAGAAGAUCUGGGCAGGGGCAAAAGGGAUCUUCUAGGCUGGGCGCCUGUCCCCACCGUGUUCUGGUGGGGCAGCCUCCAGGGCCCCCCUCCAGCUGACCACAGUUGAGCUGCUUCCCCGACCUUGGCUUCCAGAGUCCACCUGCUCAGCCCUUGUCCGCUCAGGGGACAUGUGCGGCUGGCAGAGCAGGGAGGGAUGACCUUCCGGGACCUGCCGACACCCGGAACCCCAGAAGAAGAGGAGCGCCAGCUGCCUUUGAUCCCCGUAGGACCACUGGGGCCUCCUGGGUGGGGAAGGGAGGGACAAAAGAAGAAAUAGGACCAAGACUGGCUGUGGCUGUCCUAGGGGAGCCCCUCACCCACAGCACCAGCACUGUGGGCUGGGGCACACACAAGUUUACACCUGGAAACUUCCCGCCAGUGUCUGAAUCACGGAAUUGCCACAGACUCCCCCAAGGCCAUGGGCGCAUCUGGAAGAAGUUCCCACGAGGAGACCUGAACUCAGCUCCACUGAGGGGGAAACAGCUCCCUCCACCCCUACCCCAGAACCCCCAGCCCAAACAUGAACCCACCUUCAGGGAAUUACACAUGUUGAAAAUAGAACAGGGCCCGGCGUAGGGCACACAUGAUCCCAGCAGCUCGGGAGGCUGAGGCAGGAGGAUCGAGAGAGACCCUGUCUCUAAAUAAAAUGCAAAAUAGGGCUGGGGAUAUGGUUCCGUGGUUGAGUGCCCCUGGGUUCAAUCCCUGGUACCAGAAGUAAAUAAACAACGGGAGAGUGUUGAACUUCAUAUGACACAGAGGAGCCCUGAGGUCAGUCAGUCCUACACAGGUAGG